Long non-coding RNA from Apis dorsata (giant honeybee), 299 nucleotides. RefSeq lists it as uncharacterized. Lineage: Eukaryota; Metazoa; Arthropoda; Insecta; Hymenoptera; Apidae. The transcript has 2 exons. The record is from RefSeq and is a predicted model, not a curated record.
AAAGAAACGAAUAUCUAACACUCCGCGAAAAGGAAGGAUCGAGAAAUUAAAGUUGAAUUCCGGUCGGUAAGGAAGGAAGGAAGGAAGGAAGGAAGGAUAGAAAAGGCGGGAUGCUUUCGUAGCAGCAGCUUUGCGUCCCGAGGUAUGAAGCUUGUUACGCGAGAUUCCUCGUGGUCAGGCGGAGUAAUACUCGGUAGUUAUGGGGGCGCUGGAAAAUGCUGGAAAAUUGUUACGAGCCAACCAUCGAGAAUGAUGAUCGUGACAAGAAAAUUUGAUCGAUUUGAGCAGAUUCUCAUCCA